RNAcentral lists this ribosomal RNA (550 nucleotides) under bacterium enrichment culture clone A10G12. RNAcentral describes it as "bacterial SSU rRNA". It matches the Rfam family "Bacterial small subunit ribosomal RNA", at positions 373 to 914 of the family's 1533-position model. The record is from RNAcentral.
GGGGCGAAGCCUGAUCCAGCCAUACCGCGUGAGUGAAGAAGGCCUUCGGGUUGUAAAGCUCUUUCAGCAGGGAAGAAACGGUGGAUGCUAAUACCAUUUACUAAUGACGGUACCUGAAGAAGAAGCACCGGCUAACUACGUGCCAGCAGCCGCGGUAAUACGUAGGGUGCGAGCGUUAAUCGGAAUUACUGGGCGUAAAGCGUGCGCAGGCGGUUUUUUAAGCCAGAUGUGAAAUCCCCGGGCUUAACCUGGGAACUGCAUUUGGAACUGGAAGACUAGAGUGUAGCAGAGGGGGGUAGAAUUCCACGUGUAGCAGUGAAAUGCGUAGAUAUGUGGAGGAAUACCGAUGGCGAAGGCAGCCCCCUGGGUUAACACUGACGCUCAUGCACGAAAGCGUGGGGAGCAAACAGGAUUAGAUACCCUGGUAGUCCACGCCCUAAACGAUGUCAACUAGGUGUUGGGGGAGGAGACUUCCUUAGUACCGCAGCUAACGCGUGAAGUUGACCGCCUGGGGAGUACGGUCGCAAGAUUAAAACUCAAAGGAAUUGAC